GCUAGUGUGGCUUAGUGGUUAUAGUGUAGGACCUGGAAGACCAGGGUUCAAAUCCCUGCUCAACAGUG
Molecule: non-coding RNA, 68 nt
Organism: Podarcis lilfordi (Lilford's wall lizard)
Lineage: Eukaryota; Metazoa; Chordata; Lepidosauria; Squamata; Lacertidae
Source: the annotation of a GenBank genome assembly